CUUCACGACCACACCACUUACACCCACUGAAGCAGGAGCAAACGAGUAGCAGGAUGGUCAAGGGACUCCGCAAAGAGACGUUGAGAAGGAGUAAGGAGCAGAAGUGAACAAGAGACACAACAAGAAAGGACUGAACCUCUUGAGGAUCUCUGAAAAAUAACGGAAGUUUGCAUGGAACAAGAGACACAACAAUAAGUUGACAAAAUACAGCCAAAACGAAAUUGGAGCAAUCGUUGCAGGAUGGUCAAGGGACAAUGCAAAGAGAUGUCGAGAAGCAGUGAUGAGCAGAAGGGCACAAGAGACACAAGAGGAUGAUACCAAAAUACAGAUUGGAACAUGGUAGCACUUUUUUUAAAAUCAAAGGUUAAUCGUUUGAAAGUUAAU
Molecule: long non-coding RNA, 384 nt
Organism: Amblyraja radiata (thorny skate)
Lineage: Eukaryota; Metazoa; Chordata; Chondrichthyes; Rajiformes; Rajidae
Exons: 3
Source: RefSeq, a predicted model, not a curated record